Molecule: transfer RNA, 29 nt
Filed under: Andrias davidianus (Chinese giant salamander)
Lineage: Eukaryota; Metazoa; Chordata; Amphibia; Caudata; Cryptobranchidae
Description: partial tRNA-Ser
Source: RNAcentral
UACCUUAGCUAGAAUCUAAGGCCCAUUCG